Molecule: ribosomal RNA, 379 nt
Filed under: Giardia duodenalis
Lineage: Eukaryota; Fornicata; Diplomonadida; Hexamitidae
Description: Giardia intestinalis partial large subunit ribosomal RNA
Source: RNAcentral
GACCGCCUCUAAGCGCGCACCCCGCCUCGCGCCCCGCCCGGCCGCGCGCCCCAGCCCCGUGCCCCGUCGCCGAGCGGCCCCCGCCCGGGGAGACCACCCGGCGCGGCGCUCCUGUACGGCGCAGAGCCCUGCGAUCGCCUGAGGGACGCGCCUGCAGAGCGCGGGGCGGGGCGCGCGACUCACUUGCUCUGGGGGGGGGGGGUGUGCGGGCCAGACAGGCAGGGCGCGGAAAGAGAAGAUUGAGGGAGUGCAGGGGGACCGAGGGGCAGCAGGGGAGGUGUGCACGCCCACCACCGGGUCCCCCCGUGCAGAGAGACCCCCGUGUGCGCAGGGGGCCCGCGUGUGCUGCACAGCGCCGCCGGGGGGCCGCCGGAGGAGA